Molecule: ribosomal RNA, 402 nt
Filed under: uncultured bacterium
Lineage: Bacteria
Description: bacterial SSU rRNA
Rfam family: Bacterial small subunit ribosomal RNA
Source: RNAcentral
UGGGGGAUAUUGCACAAUGGGGGAAACCCUGAUGCAGCGACGCCGCGUGAAGGAAGAAGGCCUUCGGGUUGUAAACUUCUGUCGUACGGGACGAUAAUGACGGUACCGUACAAGAAAGCCACGGCUAACUACGUGCCAGCAGCCGCGGUAAAACGUAGGUGGCAAGCGUUGUCCGGAAUUACUGGGUGUAAAGGGAGCGCAGGCGGGAGAGCAAGUUGGAAGUGAAAUCUAUGGGCUCAACCCAUAAAUUGCUUUCAAAACUGCUUUUCUUGAGUAGUGCAGAGGUAGGCGGAAUUCCCGGUGUAGCGGUGGAAUGCGUAGAUAUCGGGAGGAACACCAGUGGCGAAGGCGGCCUACUGGGCACCAACUGACGCUGAGGCUCGAAAGCAUGGGUAGCAAACA